AUUGAACGCUGGCGGCAUGCCUUACACAUGCCAGUCGAACGGCAGCACGGGUGCUUGCACCUGGUGGCGAGUGGCAAACGGGUGAGUAAUACAUCGGAACAUGUCCUGUAGUGGGGGAUAGCCCGGCGAAAGCCGGAUUAAUACCGCAUACGAUCUACGGAUGAAAGCGGGGGACCUUCGGGCCUCGCGCUAUAGGGUUGGCCGAUGGCUGAUUAGCUAGUUGGUGGGGUAAAGGCCUACCAAGGCGACGAUCAGUAGCUGGUCUGAGAGGACGACCAGCCACACUGGGACUGAGACACGGCCCAGACUCCUACGGGAGGCAGCAGUGGGGAAUUUUGGACAAUGGGCGAAAGCCUGAUCCAGCAAUGCCGCGUGUGUGAAGAAGGCCUUCGGGUUGUAAAGCACUUUUGUCCGGAAAGAAAUCCUUGGCCCUAAUACGGUCGGGGGAUGACGGUACCGGAAGAAUAAGCACCGGCUAACUACGUG
Molecule: ribosomal RNA, 486 nt
Filed under: uncultured bacterium
Lineage: Bacteria
Description: partial 16S ribosomal RNA
Rfam family: Bacterial small subunit ribosomal RNA
Source: RNAcentral